AUUGAACGCUGGCGGCAGGCCUAACACAUGCAAGUCGAGCGAGUGGCGGACGGGUGAGUAAUGUCUGGGGAACUGCCUGAUAGAGGGGGAUAACUACUGGAAACGGUGGCUAAUACCGCAUACUAUCGGCUGAACCCAUAUGGGAUUAGCUAGUUGGUGGGGUAACGGCUCACCUAGGCGACGAUCUCUAGCUGGUCUGAGAGGAUGAUCAGCCAAACUGGAAGUGAGACACGGUCCAGACUCCUACGGGAGGCAGCAGGGGGGAAUAUUGCACAAUGGGCGCAAGCCUGAUGCAGCCAUGCCGCGUGUAUGAAGAAGGCCUUAGGGUUGUAAAGUACUUUCAGCGGGGAGGCGUUACCCGCAGAAGAAGCACCGGCUAACUCCGUGCCAGCAGCAGCGGUAAUUC
Molecule: ribosomal RNA, 406 nt
Filed under: uncultured bacterium
Lineage: Bacteria
Description: partial 16S ribosomal RNA
Rfam family: Bacterial small subunit ribosomal RNA
Source: RNAcentral